UACGAAGGGGGCUAGCGUUGUUCGGAUUUACUGGGCGUAAAGCGCGUGUAGGCGGGUCGUUAAGUUGGGGGUGAAAUCCCGAGGCUCAACCUCGGAACUGCCUUCAAAACUGGCGACCUGGACUCAAGCAGAGGCAAGUGGAAUUGCGAGUGUAGAGGUGAAAUUCGUAGAUAUUCGCAGGAACACCAGUGGCGAAGGCGAAUUGCUGGGCUUGUGGUGACGCUGAGACGCGAAAGCGUGGGGAGCAAACAGG
RNAcentral lists this ribosomal RNA (253 nucleotides) under uncultured bacterium. RNAcentral's name for it is "partial 16S ribosomal RNA". It matches the Rfam family "Bacterial small subunit ribosomal RNA", at positions 524 to 776 of the family's 1533-position model. The record is from RNAcentral.